This is a long non-coding RNA of Acipenser ruthenus (sterlet), 153 nucleotides long. RefSeq lists it as uncharacterized. The record is from RefSeq and is a predicted model, not a curated record. NCBI's taxonomy places the organism in Eukaryota, Metazoa, Chordata, Actinopteri, Acipenseriformes, Acipenseridae. The transcript has 3 exons.
UCAAAGGUGGCAACCCUAGCUGUGGCAGCUACAGGAUCUACUCUUAGGUGCUGGGAGAUGCAUCCCUGAUUCAGUUUAUGUGGCUCUGGACCCUGAUACAGCACACCGCCGGCUCAUCCUGUCUGCGGAGGGGAAACGAGUGAGAUGGGGAGA